Molecule: non-coding RNA, 71 nt
Organism: Potamilus streckersoni
Lineage: Eukaryota; Metazoa; Mollusca; Bivalvia; Unionida; Unionidae
Source: the annotation of a GenBank genome assembly
GACCGUAGCCUAGUGGUUAGAACGUCCGCCUCGGACGCGGGGGAUUGCGGAUCCGAUCCCCGGCAGAGUCA